UCGAGGGGCGGCUACACAUGCAAGUCGAGCGGUAGCACAGGAGAGCUUGCUCUCUGGGUGACGAGCGGCGGACGGGUGAGUAAUGUCUGGGAAACUGCCUGAUGGAGGGGGAUAACUACUGGAAACGGUAGCUAAUACCGCAUAACGUCUACGGACCAAAGUGGGGGACCUUCGGGCCUCACGCCAUCAGAUGUGCCCAGAUGGGAUUAGCUAGUAGGUGGGGUAAUGGCUCACCUAGGCGACGAUCCCUAGCUGGUCUGAGAGGAUGACCAGCCACACUGGAACUGAGACACGGUCCAGACUCCUACGGGAGGCAGCAGUGGGGAAUAUUGCACAAUGGGCGCAAGCCUGAUGCAGCCAUGCCGCGUGUGUGAAGAAGGCCUUAGGGUUGUAAAGCACUUUCAGCGAGGAGGAAGGGUAGUGUGUUAAUAGCACAUUGCAUUGACGUUACUCGCAGAAGAAGCACCGGCUAACUCCGUGCCAGCAGCCGCGGUAAUACGGAGGGUGCAAGCGUUAAUCGGAAUUACUGGGCGUAAAGCGCACGCAGGCGGUUUGUUAAGUCAGAUGUGAAAUCCCCGCGCUUAACGUGGGAACUGCAUUUGAAACUGGCAAGCUAGAGUCUUGUAGAGGGGGGUAGAAUUCCAGGUGUAGCGGUGAAAUGCGUAGAGAUCUGGAGGAAUACCGGUGGCGAAGGCGGCCCCCUGGACAAAGACUGACGCUCAGGUGCGAAAGCGUGGGGAGCAAACAGGAUUAGAUACCCUGGUAGUCCACGCUGUAAACGAUGUCGAUUUGGAGGUUGUGCCCUUGAGGCGUGGCUUCCGGAGCUAACGCGUUAAAUCGACCGCCUGGGGAGUACGGCCGCAAGGUUAAAACUCAAAUGAAUUGACGGGGGCCCGCACAAGCGGUGGAGCAUGUGGUUUAAUUCGAUGCAACGCGAAGAACCUUACCUACUCUUGACAUCCAGAGAACUUUCCAGAGAUGGAUUGGUGCCUUCGGGAACUCUGAAACAGGUGCUGCAUGGCUGUCGUCAGCUCGUGUUGUGAAAUGUUGGGUUAAGUCCCGCAACGACNCAACCCUUAUCCUUUGUUNCAGCGAUUCGGUCGGGAACUCAAAGGAANUGCCGGUGAUAAACCGGAAGAAGGUGGGGAUGACGUCAAGUCAUUUGGCCCUUACAAAUAGGCUACCACGGGCUACAAGGGCUUUUAAAAGAGA
This 1212-nucleotide ribosomal RNA is filed under the name Serratia plymuthica. RNAcentral's name for it is "bacterial SSU rRNA". It matches the Rfam family "Bacterial small subunit ribosomal RNA", at positions 37 to 1246 of the family's 1533-position model. Lineage: Bacteria; Pseudomonadati; Pseudomonadota; Gammaproteobacteria; Enterobacterales; Yersiniaceae. The record is from RNAcentral.